This 497-nucleotide ribosomal RNA is filed under the name uncultured bacterium. Its description in RNAcentral is "partial 16S ribosomal RNA". It matches the Rfam family "Bacterial small subunit ribosomal RNA", at positions 28 to 507 of the family's 1533-position model. The record is from RNAcentral.
GAUGAACGCUGGCGGCGUGCCUAAUACAUGCAAGUCGAGCGAACAGACGCGGAGCUUGCUCCUGUGACGUUAGCGGCGGACGGGUGAGUAACACGUGGAUAACCUACCUAUAAGACUGGGAUAACUUCGGGAAACCGGAGCUAAUACCGGAUAAUAUAUUGAACCGCAUGGUUCAAUAGUGAAAGACGGUUUUGCUGUCACUUAUAGCUGGAUCCGCGCCGCAUUAGCUAGUUGGUAAGGUAACGGCUUACCAAGGCAACGAUGCGUAGCCGACCUGAGAGGGUGAUCGGCCACACUGGAACUGAGACACGGUCCAGACUCCUACGGGAGGCAGCAGUAGGGAAUCUUCCGCAAUGGGCGAAAGCCUGACGGAGCAACGCCGCGUGAGUGAUGAAGGUCUUCGGAUCGUAAAACUCUGUUAUUAGGGAAGAACAAAUGUGUAAGUAACUAUGCACGUCUUGACGGUACCUAAUCAGAAAGCCACGGCUAACUACGUG